This 432-nucleotide ribosomal RNA is filed under the name uncultured bacterium. RNAcentral describes it as "partial 16S ribosomal RNA". It matches the Rfam family "Bacterial small subunit ribosomal RNA", at positions 29 to 506 of the family's 1533-position model. The record is from RNAcentral.
AACGAACGCUGGCGGCAUGCCUAACACAUGCAAGUCGAACGAUACCUGCGGGUCUAGUGGCGCACGGUUGCGUAACGCGUGGGAACCUGCCCUUAGGUUCGGAAUAACUCCCCGAAGGGUGUGCUAAUACCGGAUAAUGUCUUCGGACCAAAGAUUUAUCGCCUGUGGAUGUGCCCGCGUUGGAUUAACUAGUUGGUAUGGUAAAAGCCUACGAAGGCGACUAUCCAUAGCUGGUCUGAGAGGAUGAUCAGCCACACUCGGAAUGAGACACGACCCAGACUCCGACGGGAGGCAGAAGUGGGGACUAUCGGACAAUGGGCGAAAACGUGAUUCAGCAAUGCCGAGAGAGUGAUGAAGGCAUUAGGGUUGUAAAGAUAUUUUACACGGCAUGCUAAGGACAGAACCGGGCGAAUAAGCACCGCCUAACUCCGU